RNAcentral lists this transfer RNA (74 nucleotides) under Planctomycetota bacterium. RNAcentral describes it as "Planctomycetes bacterium (activated sludge metagenome) tRNA-Arg". It matches the Rfam family "tRNA". Rfam says of the family: Transfer RNA (tRNA) molecules are approximately 80 nucleotides in length. Their secondary structure includes four short double-helical elements and three loops (D, anti-codon, and T loops). Lineage: Bacteria; Pseudomonadati; Planctomycetota. The record is from RNAcentral.
GCGCCUGUAGCUCAAUUGGAUAGAGCAGCGGUCUUCUAAACCGCAGGUUGGGAGUUCGAUCCUCCCCAGGCGCA